GAUGAACGCUGGCGGCGUGCCUAAUACAUGCAAGUCGAGCGAACGGACGAGAAGCUUGCUUCUCUGAUGUUAGCGGCGGACGGGUGAGUAACACGUGGAUAACCUACCUAUAAGACUGGGAUAACUUCGGGAAACCGGAGCUAAUACCGGAUAAUAUUUUGAACCGCAUGGUUCAAAAGUGAAAGACGGUCUUGCUGUCACUUAUAGAUGGAUCCGCGCUGCAUUAGCUAGUUGGUAAGGUAACGGCUUACCAAGGCAACGAUGCAUAGCCGACCUGAGAGGGUGGUCGCCCACACUGGAACUGAGACACGGUCCAGACUCCUACGGGAGGCAGCAGUAGGGAAUCUUCCGCAAUGGGCGAAAGCCUGACGGAGCAACGCCGCGUGAGUGAUGAAGGUCUUCGGAUCGUAAAACUCUGUUAUUAGGGAAGAACAUAUGUGUAAGUAACUGUGCACAUCUUGACGGUAACUAAUCAGAAAGCAACGGCUAACUACGUG
RNAcentral lists this ribosomal RNA (497 nucleotides) under uncultured bacterium. Its description in RNAcentral is "partial 16S ribosomal RNA". It matches the Rfam family "Bacterial small subunit ribosomal RNA", at positions 28 to 507 of the family's 1533-position model. The record is from RNAcentral.